Non-coding RNA from Kogia breviceps (pygmy sperm whale), 1187 nucleotides. The record is from RefSeq and is a predicted model, not a curated record. NCBI's taxonomy places the organism in Eukaryota, Metazoa, Chordata, Mammalia, Artiodactyla, Physeteridae.
GCCCAGAGUUGGCCCUCCCAAGUUUUUUAGCACCAACUGCUGAGGCAUCUGGGAUCCGCAGAACGUUUCGAAACAAAGCGGGGCUCUGAAUGUAAACACACGCAUGGAGCCACCAACGGGCCUCGCCAGACACCCUCCGGAGGACGCGGUUUCUGCUGGAGCAGCCCCUAGACUUGUCAACUAAUUGGAGGUGAGAACCACGCCCAGGCCCCUCCCAGGCAGGCAGACCCACAGGAAUCACACUCUUUGUCAUGUGUGGACACGUAUGUCACACCUGAGAAAAACAAAAGCCCCAAUGACACUCAAUGCCCGGGAGGGCGGGGAGUGGCCGGAGCUCUCACACUGCUGGAGGGAGAAGAAUCCCCACGCCCAGUUUGGAAAACUGUCUGGCGGCAUCCGCUGAGGCCAACUGUGUGCGCUCACUAUGGCCAGAGAUGGACUGGCCUUGUAUCAUGGGACGCGUGAAUGUGUCAUCACAAGACACACUGGAAGGUUCACAGUAGGAAGCGACCCAGAUGCUCAUCAGCGCCAGUAUCAUCAAUCAUCAACGGUGCCCACAACAGAGGAGAAGCCAGCUCCAAAUGUUAACAGUGCCGAGGAUGAGAAACUGUGUGUCACCUGCCCCCUGCCUGCCACUCCAGUCAUACUUGGAUCCUUCCUGGCCCUCUCUGCUCUGGCUGCGCUGUCCUCUUUUGUUCCUGAAGCUCGCUGCACCUCUCCCUCCCACCCUCCUCUCCCUACAGGGACCACUCUUCCCUGACCCCCGGCCCCUCCAUCCCCAAAAAGCCCAGCUCCCGUGGGUUUUAUUCCCAGCACCUCCUCUAGCUGUGUGACCUUGGACAAAUACUUAACCUCUCUGUGCCUCAGUUCCCUCCUCUGUAAAACAGGGAUAACAACAGUAGCUGCCUCAUAGACUUGGCAAUAUUCAAUCUGUAAAGUGCCAGCCACAGUGUUUACACAUAUUAUGCUCGUAACUAUUGUUCAUUAUUAUCAUUAUCACUGUUUUAUGCCCACAUAGCACUGACUGCCUCGGUCUGUAGCACUUAGUAUGUUUGCAUUUCUCUACUUAUGUGUGUGGCUAACUGGCUGCCUCCAUGGGAGCAGGGCAUUGUGUUUUUGCUCACCCAAGGCAUACCAAGCACUUAGCGCAUAGUAUGUGCUCAAUAAAUAUUUAAGGGAUGACUGAA